Molecule: ribosomal RNA, 524 nt
Filed under: Chrysina bruyeai
Lineage: Eukaryota; Metazoa; Arthropoda; Insecta; Coleoptera; Scarabaeidae
Description: partial 16S ribosomal RNA
Rfam family: Bacterial large subunit ribosomal RNA
Source: RNAcentral
GUCUUUUUGAUAAUAAUUUAAAGUCUGGCCUGCCCAAUGAGGAAUUCAAUGGCCGCGGUAAUUUGACCGUGCAAAGGUAGCAUAAUCAUUAGUUUUUUAAUUGAAAGCUGGUAUGAAUGGCUGGACGAGAAAGAAGCUGUCUCUUUCUAAUUUUAGUUAGAAUUUUACUUUUGAGUAAAAAGGCUCAAAUGCAUUUAAAAGACGAGAAGACCCUAUAGAGUUUUAUACAUGCUCUUGCUUUUAAGCUUAAGAUUGUCUUGCUCUAGGGCAUUAUCAUGUGUUUUGUUGGGGUGACAAGAAAAUUGACUGAACUUUUCUUUAUUUUUAACAUUAAUUUAUGAAUGAAUGAGCCAUUUUAGUAUGAUUAUAAGAAUUAAUUACCUUAGGGAUAACAGCGUAAUUUUUUUUGAGAGUUCUUAUCGAAAAAAGAGUUUGCGACCUCGAUGUUGGAUUAAAGUUAAUUUGUGGUGCAGAAGCUACAACAUUAGAUCUGUUCGAUCUUUGAAACUUUACAUGAUCUGAGU